GAUGAACGCUGGCGGCGUGCUUAACACAUGCAAGUCGAACGGAGUUUAUACGGAAGGAGUCUUCGGACAACAAAAGUAUAAACUUAGUGGCGGACGGGUGAGUAACGCGUGGGUAACCUGCCUUAUACAAGGGGAUAACAGAGGGAAACUUCUGCUAAUACCGUAUAAAAAUAUUUCACGCAUGUGAGAUAUUUGAAAGAUUUAUCAGUAUGAGAUGGACCCGCGUCUGAUUAGGUAGUUGGUGAGGUAGAGGCUCACCAAGCCGACGAUCGGUAGCCGAUCUGAGAGGAUGACCGGCCACAUUGGGACUGAGACACGGUCCAGACUCCUACGGGAGGCAGCAGUAGGGAAUCUUCCGCAAUGGGCGAAAGCCUGACGGAGCAACGCCGCGUGAGUGAUGAAGGUCUUCGGAUCGUAAAACUCUGUUAUUAGGGAAGAACAUAUGUGUAAGUAACUGUGCACAUCUUGACGGUACCUAAUCAGAAAGCCACGGCUAACUACGUGCCAGCAGCCGCGGUAAUACGUAGGUGGCAAGCGUUAUCCGGAAUUAUUGGGCGUAAAGCGCGCGUAGGCGGUUUUUUAAGUCUGAUGUGAAAGCCCACGGCUCAACCGUGGAGGGUCAUUGGAAACUGGAAAACUUGAGUGCAGAAGAGGAAAGUGGAAUUCCAUGUGUAGCGGUGAAAUGCGCAGAGAUAUGGAGGAACACCAGUGGCGAAGGCGACUUUCUGGUCUGUAACUGACGCUGAUGUGCGAAAGCGUGGGGAUCAAACAGGAUUAGAUACCCUGGUAGUCCACGCCGUAAACGAUGAGUGCUAAGUGUUAGGGGGUUUCCGCCCCUUAGUGCUGCAGCUAACGCAUUAAGCACUCCGCCUGGGGAGUACGACCGCAAGGUUGAAACUCAAAGGAAUUGACGGGGACCCGCACAAGCGGUGGAGCAUGUGGUUUAAUUCGAAGCAACGCGAAGAACCUUACCAAAUCUUGACAUCCUCUGACCCCUCUAGAGAUAGAGUUUUCCCCUUCGGGGGACAGAGUGACAGGUGGUGCAUGGUUGUCGUCAGCUCGUGUCGCGAGAUGUUGGGUUAAGUCCCGCAACGAGCGCAACCCUUAAGCUUAGUUGCCAUCAUUAAGUUGGGCACUCUAAGUUGACUGCCGGUGACAAACCGGAGGAAGGUGGGGAUGACGUCAAAUCAUCAUGCCCCUUAUGAUUUGGGCUACACACGUGCUACAAUGGACAAUACAAAGGGCAGCGAAACCGCGAGGUCAAGCAAAUCCCAUAAAGUUGUUCUCAGUUCGGAUUGUAGUCUGCAACUCGACUAUAUGAAGCUGGAAUCGCUAGUAAUCGUAGAUCAGCAUGCUACGGUGAAUACGUUCCCGGGUCU
RNAcentral lists this ribosomal RNA (1379 nucleotides) under uncultured bacterium. Its description in RNAcentral is "bacterial SSU rRNA". It matches the Rfam family "Bacterial small subunit ribosomal RNA", at positions 28 to 1381 of the family's 1533-position model. The record is from RNAcentral.